This 595-nucleotide long non-coding RNA is filed under the name Populus trichocarpa (black cottonwood). RNAcentral's name for it is "long non-coding RNA (PTRI_LNC004634)". Lineage: Eukaryota; Viridiplantae; Streptophyta; Magnoliopsida; Malpighiales; Salicaceae. The record is from RNAcentral.
AGAUCUGUCCACCGCCACGACCGCCGCCACCGAGACACAGUCGCCUGAUCUGCCACCUGAGGAAGAGAGAAGACAGAAAAAAAUCAGACCAGGAGAAAGAGAGAAAAACAGAAGGAGAGCAGAUCUAAAAAGGGGGAGGAAGAACCGAAACUUUGCUUGCGUUUUUUCUUCUUUGCAGGUGACGUUACUCCUCACUGGCGGCGCAGGAGGGAAGAGGAGACGGAGUAGAGCCAGAUCCAACUGGUGUUCGGGUCUGUCUGCAGCGGCGCGUGGGUCCACGCGCCGCCAGUGGUGGAGGCGCGUGGGGCAGACGCGCCGCCACUGUUUCCGGCUUGUAGAAGGCCAUCCCUGUAAUUUCAGAUUGUUUUGGGGCUAAUUUUUGUAAUUUUAAAAUUGUUUAAUGUAUUUUUUUUGUUUAGUUUUUGAUUUUUUAAUUUGUAGUGUUGAUGUAACAAAAAAAAAAAGAAAAAAGAAAAAAGAAAAGUAUAGUGAAAAGGAAAUGUGUGAUUUGUAUUUUGUUUAUGAAUGUUUUUUUUGUAUGAUAGAAUUGCAAGGAUGAAGAAGAAUUUAAUAUUUUGAUUUGCUCACGGAUAAA